Long non-coding RNA from Macaca mulatta (Rhesus monkey), 3559 nucleotides. The record is from Ensembl. NCBI's taxonomy places the organism in Eukaryota, Metazoa, Chordata, Mammalia, Primates, Cercopithecidae.
GUAGGAGGCGCGAGCAGCCUGGCUUACCCGGGCGUGUGGAGUUGCCGCGGUACCGUACUAUUCCUCAUUGCAAAAUCUUUAUGACACUUAAGAAAAGAAUCACCAGCCUGGGCAACCUGGGGAGGCCCCGUCUCUACAAAAAAAUUAAAAAAUUAGCCGAGUGUGGUGGCGCGCGGCCGUGGUCCCAGCUACUCUGGAGGCUGAGGCCCAGGAGUUCGAGGCCGCAGUGAGCUAUGAACGUGCCACUGCACUCCAGCCUGGGCCACAGAGCAAGACCCCGUUUCAAAUAAAAGAAAAGAAGUUACCGAAAUACAGAUGUGCAAUUUUUAUUCCUUAGCCUAGUCUCAUCUCUGCUGCAUGUGACUGUUGUUCACAUAUUAAUUCCACCACAAUUUAAGUUCCUCCUGUGUGCCAGGGAAGCGCCCUUAACAGAAGCUGGGGAAACAACCAGGAACAAGACAGAUGCUGUGCCUGCCCUCAUGGGGAUUACUUUCUAGUUGAGAAAGGAGAUACUAAAUGGAGAAGGAAAAUAAGCUGCUGAGAAAUUAAAGGAAGACAGGUGACCUUUUGAUUUGAGAUGUCAAGAAAGUGCCCUCUGAAGAGGUUCGGUAAACUGAGAGGAAGCCGGCUCUGGAGAUACAAGGAAAGAACAGCCAACAGAAGGAUCUACAUGUGAGCAAGCAACAAGGAAGGAGCAGAAUGUGGUGCCUUGAAGAAAAGGAGAAAGUGGGUCAUGGGAAGCACGGAGGAUGAGAUCAACGAGGCCAGGAGAGUCCCCAUCAUGCACAGACUCUCUGGGGCCCUGUGAGGGAUACGGAGUUUAUUCCAAGUGUAAUGGGAAACUAGUGAAGAGUUUUCAACACGUGAGUGACAGGAUCUCGUUUCGUAGCAUCAUCGCCCUGCUUGCUGCUGUGUAUACAUGGAACUUUUGAGAAACAAUUUAAAAGGAUGCAGAGAGAAGAGUUGCUUUUGCAAUGAGCAGGUUCUCUUCCCUGCUGAGUUGUGAAGAAGGCACCUGCUUCCUCUUACACCGUGAUUGUUAAGUUUCCUGAGGCCUCCCCAGCCUUGCAGAACUGACUCAGAGACUACCUAGACGCCCGCAGACAACAGACCAGAGGGGUCCGGCGAAACACAGAGGGGUCCGGCGAAAUGGUUUUCACCUGAGAAGGCAACGGGCUACUCCACUGUAAGAAAACCAUCUGUAUGAAAGAAUCUUGAAAGGACCACGCAGAGCGGAAAUACUCACUCCCAGCGGCCUCACCAGGGCGGCGGGCGGCCCGGCUACGACGGCAGGAUCGUUCACCACGGCCCGGGCCCAGGGCCUUCUGGUUACACCAGGAUCCACGGGCUGGGGCUGCGUGGUACCGUGGGGAUGGAUGCCGUGGUUUUGUGAUCCACGCUGCCAUCUUCUGGGGAGUCUCAUCAGAGACUGUGGUUCCGUUUUCAGUGCAAAGCUGUGAGUCCGAGACUGUGGCGGGGGCACGUCUCAAUUCAACUGGACCUAUUCCAGCCAGCUAAUGAUGGUGAUGGUGAUGAGAAGGAGAGGAGGAUGGUGGCGGCGGUGAUGAAAACCAGGAUUCUGGAGUUUACAGCGGUUCUCACUCUUUUAAAAGCACGUCCCAUAAAGAGUACAGCUGAUCAAACAACAAAAGAAGAAAAUAAAUCAGAGAGCUGCUACUAUUUUUAAAAGGUGGAAGUGGACAGAAUGGCCUUCGGGGCAAGUGAAGAAAACUGGAAAAUACACACUCUACAGAGGCUGGUUCUGGAACGUGGGACCCUGAGCACUCAGCGAAUUCUUUGUUUCCCAAAGUUUCUCCGCUAAGCACCUUGCAGGGUGCAUGGCUUCAGAUGGCCGGCUGCCUGAGCUUUAACCAAGUAGGAAACAACGGAGACGGUAACUUGAUCCCAGACUUCCAGCCUGGAAAACGCUGAAACAAUACGUUUUGGUUACUUUUAAGCCAGGCAGAUUGUAAGAGAAAUGCAGUGUUUCACAGUGGGAGAAGCUACAAGCCUGUAAUCUAGUGGUUGACAGGGCCUGCUCCACCUUUCUCUUAGCUCCUGGUGUUACCAGCAUCCUCCUCACUCCAGUCACUGCCUCCUCCAUCAUUAGGCGACAUUCUCAUGUGUCUGUCUCUUCUCCUCUUCUAUGGACACCAGGCAUAUCAGAUUAGGGGCCCUCCCUCCUCCAGGUUGACCUCAUUUUACUCACAUUUGGGAUGAUCCUAUUUCCAAAUAAGGUCACAUUCUGAGGUUCUGGGAAGCACAUGGAUUUUAGGGGAGCACUCUCCAGUAAAUAGGCUUGGGUUCCGAUCUUGGUGUAGGUACUAAUUAGCUGUUCAGUCGUGAGGCAGCUCUAGCCAUCCGUUUUCUCAUCUGGUAACAUAAAGGAGUUAGCAUGUGCCUGGCACAGAGUAUACUCAGCAGAAGACAGCAUUAUCAGAAAAAAAGUGUUUGUUUGUUUGUUUGUUUGUUUUUGAGACGGAGUCUCGCUCUGUUGCCCAGGCUGGAGUGAGUGGCCGCGAUCUCAGUUCACUGCAAGCUCCACCUCCCAGGUUCACGCCAUUCUCCUGCCUCAGCCUCCCGAGUAGCUGGGACCAUAGGCGCCGCCACCACGUCCGGCUAGUUUUUUAUAUUUUUAGUAGAGACGGGGUUUCACCGUGUUGGCCAGGAUGGUCUCGAUCUCUUAACCUUAUGAUCCACCCGCCUCGGCCUCCCACAGAGCUGGGAUUACAGGUGUGAGCCACUGCGCCCAGCCAAAAAAAAGUUUUAAUAAAUUUAAAGAGAGAGAAAACAAGAUCCUACAGUCCCUGGACCAAAGCAGAGCAUUUAAAUAAAGAGAGCUUUGGAAAGCGUGAUUUCUACCUGAAUCCCUUUCUCCCUCUCACAUCACAUUUAGCAUCUGAUUUAGCUCAGGAGACACCGAGUUGUUGUUAACCAGCUGUUUCUGAUGAGGUAGAUAACAUUUGGGUCCAUUUCAGUCUCCGGGGGAGGCUCAGAAGAGACACACAGCUCUGCCACCUUUUCUACCCACCUCUCCCUACGCUGUGCAAGCUUGUGUUUCCAGAACCAGGUUCAUUCUGACUGGAUCCCAGGUGUGUCCAAGGCCUUUUGUUUGGCAGAAGGGAGUGUACAAUCCAGCCUCCUCAUCAACCUGAUUGAACUUCUCUUCAUUAACUUUGAGUAUUGUGGAUUUAGAGACAUGUUAUUUGAGAAGGCUGUGAUAUUAAUAUAUUAGAAACCAUGAAUAUUUGGGGAUGAAUUACUUUUCCAACAAAUUAGUGCCCUAAGGGGGUAGGCCUUUUCGAAGAGAGAAAGGAAGUUGAAGAAAGUUCCAGAGCCUGACUUGCGGCAGGGCACGUGUUCACCUGAGAAACGUGGUAAUGGGGUAAUUGAGAUCCUCUGAACAGUAACCGACUUGCCACCUGAGCAAAAAGCCCUGAAGGCAACAACUACGGCAUUCCCACGUGUACAGUGUUCCAGGCGCUGCCCUAAAAACAUCCAUGUGACUUUGUGUAUACGUGUGUUUACAGAAUGUGUAAAUAAAUAGGAGAAUAUGAAA